GAUCUCUUCUGUCAUCAUUAUUUACCCAUACACCGGUGACGUCAGAAGGGACGUGAUUUCCUCAUAUGAAAGUGAAAGUAACUGUGUAGUCUACACCGUUACAAAAUGACUGUAGAAAAUGUAGCGCACAUUUCUCUGCAACAUUAGAAGCAGGAUAAAUGUGUUGAUUUGAAGGACAGACGGGCAGACUCUGGUAAGUCUUGGCUACAUAUAACUAUUAUAAAGUUAGGUCGUAGUCAGACAUUCAAUUGACAGAGUAACCUUGAGAUAUGAUUCUUUAUCAUGCUGACCAACCUGGGCCCGGUUUCUGCGAUAGAAUUUAGACUUAACGCUGGAAACGCAUAAUAAGUGGUAAACGAUAAUUAACUAAAUACAGUGUUGAGUAAACGCUAUUUUACAAAUAAAAAGGUGUGUAAGCGCGUUUACGUGGGUUUACCCUCCACCACAUCCCCGUUGAGGUGGUGUGCAGCGUAGAGUGCAUAGUCAUUUAGUCUCUAUGGGCCAGAUGGUGAGGGCCACAGCAUAGUCCUUUAGUCUCUAUGGGAAAAGAAACUGUUCAGAUGGGGGUCUAUAACAUCCAAUCACAUACUCCUCAAGAUGAGGCUCAUGAUUUAUAAGUUAUAUACCUUUUAAUCUUUACAUAUAUUGUCUUUAUUUAAACCAAGGUAGUUUGAGUUAGUAGCGAUGAAGUAGCAACUGUCAGCUGCUGUAAACCUGUGACAGUCUUCAUAAGAGAGCUGAUCUCGGAUCAGUUUAGCUGUUUAUAUCAUAUUGAUACUGCUGUUAACCAUCUGACAGUCUUCAUAGGAGAGCUGAUCUCAGAUCAGUUUAGCUUAUUAUAUCAUAUUGAUACUGCUGUAAACCUGUGACAGUCUUCAUAGGAGAGCUGAUCUCGUAUCAGUUUAGCUGUUUAUAUCAUAUUGAUACUGCUGUAAACCUGUGACAGUCUUCAUAGGAGAGCUGAUCUCGUAUCAGUUUAGCUGUUUAUAUCAUAUUGAUACUCCUGUAAAGUCAGGUUACAGCAGGUGUUUACUGCCAUCUAGUGGAAGAUAUUUUAUUUUUAUUUCACUUUUAUUUAACUAGGUAAGUCAGAACAAAUUCUUAUUAACAAUGACGGCCUACCCCGGCCAAACCUUGACGACGCUGGGCCAAUUGUGCGCCGCCCUAUGGGACUCCCAGUCAUGCAGCCUGGACUCUAACCAGGUACUGCAGUGACGCAAGAGGCGGGACUGCACCACUCGGGAGGUGGCUGAGCUGAAACAGAAAGUAAAUAUGUUAUUUUGUUCAGGAUCCAUUUUGAGACGACAGAGCAGAAAACACUAUAUGGAGAUUAUUGAAAAAUAAAUGGCCUGGCUGCAUCCAGACUGUCAAAGGCCCAUCCUGGUAGAUCUGAACCUAAUGCAGCUUGGAGUGAUCAGAUGACAGAAGUCACAUUUAGGUGCCAGGUCUUCAGCAGGCUUGAAACGUGAUACUGAUUUUCAUACUAAGAGGGACCAGGAGUCUGUUGAUUGGCCAGUCAUUGGGUUCAUUUGUUGAAAUCAAAUCAAGCUUUAUUUAUACAGCACAUUUCAGACAUGGAUCCAACACAAUGGCUUCAUA
Salmo salar (Atlantic salmon) is the source of this 1599-nucleotide non-coding RNA. Lineage: Eukaryota; Metazoa; Chordata; Actinopteri; Salmoniformes; Salmonidae. The record is from RefSeq and is a predicted model, not a curated record.